AAACAAAUUAGCCAAUCCUCUCUUGCUCUCGGUCUGCUUCCUCUGCUAAGGUUACUGUGUACAGGUUGCUCGAGGCUUGCUUGCACUAGGAGAGUACUUCCAACGCCUUGGAGCUUUUAGUUCAAUUUGGGCCACCCAUCCUCAUGACACUGCCUAAUCUUAUACC
Long non-coding RNA from Mangifera indica (mango), 166 nucleotides. RefSeq lists it as uncharacterized. The record is from RefSeq and is a predicted model, not a curated record. Lineage: Eukaryota; Viridiplantae; Streptophyta; Magnoliopsida; Sapindales; Anacardiaceae. The transcript has 2 exons.